RNAcentral lists this transfer-messenger RNA (385 nucleotides) under Christensenellaceae bacterium. It matches the Rfam family "transfer-messenger RNA". From Rfam's summary of the family: Bacterial tmRNA, also known as 10Sa RNA or SsrA, is named for its dual tRNA and mRNA-like properties. The record is from RNAcentral. Lineage: Bacteria; Bacillati; Bacillota; Clostridia; Christensenellales; Christensenellaceae.
GGGGGCGACAUAGUUUCGACGGUUGGGGGACGGUUUUUCAAGCAUAUCGGCGGGGCAACCAUACGUAAUUGGUUGCAAAACGACAAAUGCAAGUCCAAAAAAUGCACGCUUUGCCUACGCCCUUGCUGCCUGACUUUCGUUAGACGGCGGGGUUUCCGCAAAGACCAACGCAACAUUUAACCUUUUUAAUGGGCGUUGGAAAACAAAGGGUGAAUGGGGUAACAAAUUCCUUGCAACCGAAGUUGUUAUUCGGCACAAAAUGAUUGCACUUCCGUAAUUCUUUGCCGUUAAUCUGUUGCGGACAGUAAAUAAGUAACGGAUAAAUAUGUAGAAAGAAAAACAACAAGCCAAUCGGACCCGGGUGCGACCCCCGGCGUCUCCACCA